AAAAUCGAAUUUCCAAGACUUACGACCUAACAUUAUAGAACCAAAUCCAACCGAACAUUUAUGCCAUUUUCGCAUGGCUAAAAGUUUACAUACCAAAUUUCAACAAAACAUAUUAGCCUAUACAUGCCGAAAUGUUCUCCUAGACCGACUAAAAAGAAGAUACCAAAAGUUGCUAGCCGGUGUGAUGACUUCGAUGACGGCCCGAUCACGCAAAAAGAGAUGAGUCCAAGAAACCUAAAAUAGGUGACAAGGAAACACCGAGUGAGUAUAUAACUCAGUAAGUCAUAAGCAAUGCACCACCAUCCAUUAAUAACAUUAUCACAAGAGGAAACAAAAUGGAACGAGGCUAGUUACUCCAUCCAUACCGAACCAUACAAUAGUUCCUUAGACCUAUCGGUUCAAUCUCAUACCAAGUCAUGCAUUCACAUUCCAUAUACUAAUCAAUAGGAUAUUUGAGGCAUUUUCAUACAUCAUUGUAUUUUCGUUACAAUCAUACAACUAAACGACCUUUCACCUAUUCCGCGAUAAAUCUUAUGUACAUGACUUCAAUUAUAAUUGUCACAUAGGUUCAAACUUACCAAGCUCAACUCCAAAUAUAAACAUAGCGCCUAUUAGCCAUGAACUCAAGGUACUUACCCGAUCCGCUGUCCGUGAUCAACUCAAUAAUGUCGCACACUUAGUGUCCAUAGUGAUUCAAAAGUAUAUAUUAAGUCCGCACACUCAGUGUUAUAUAAUCAACUCGCACACUUAGUGCUAUAUAAUCAAACUCGCACACUUAGUGCUGUACAAUUUAAACCCGCACACUUAGUGCCAAUCUCAUGAUCAUAAAUGUUUAUACCCGCACACUUAGUGCCGAGAUCAACAACUCAAUACAUCUCACCUCUUUUCUUUUCAUUCAACACUUUCAUCACCACAUGCAUACAUGUAUAUAUAUUUAUCAUUCCAUUCAGCAUCAUUACAUAGACGUUAUGACCAUUUAAAUUAAUACAAACUAUAUGCUUAAUGACUUACUUUGUGUUGGGUAAGACGGUUCCAACUCGGCUACUCGAUGAUCUUUUCUUUGUCUUUGCUUGAUUCUCCUCCUUUAACUCCUUGAGCUUAAUCAAUAAAUCAACUAGUUUAACCAUCUUGCUAAACAUUCAUAAUUCAAUUACACAUGCAUAUGUAUGUCUGUAUAUUCGGCAACCAUCCUCACUAAUUACCCAUUUAGUCGAUUAUACACAUAAUUAAAGGUAACAUCACGAAUGGGCAUACUUAUGUAUAUAUAUAUGUAUAUAUAUACUUCGGAAUGGGCAUCACAAUUAGAUUUAACACCACCUUCAUACUCAAUUAGAUGGCCGAAUGCAUGUAUAUAUGCACAAUGUCAACUAUAACAUCAUUUAAACACCUAAUUUCAUCUCAUGAAUACUCGACCCAUUUUUUUUAACAAUAAUUCAUGUAUCCUUUUUAUUAAACACUCAAAAUCAACCAUCUUCAUACCUCAUCACCAAAGACAUCAAAAUACCAACCAAGAAUGUAACAUUCAUGGCCGAAUAUCAUCUCCAUCAAUUAACAAAAUUUGAACCAUGGCUAGGUAGAUUUCAAACUUACAACUUAAAAUAUACAUGAAUCUCAAAGAAUAAUAUCAACCAUACCUCAAUCUAGUUACAUGCAUGGCCAAACUUCUUAGAAACUUUUCCCCUAGGCACCGAAUAUUCAAGAGCUUCUUAAUCAACUUAAAGGUGACCAAAUGCCUUAACUUCAAUUUCUUCUUUUUCUUUUCAAUUCAGCCAAGAAGAACCAAAGAACACAACUUGUUUUUCUUUCUUCCUUAGAACAUUCGGCCAAGGGAAAUGAAGAAAGACGGACACUUUUUUUUUAUUUUUUCUUUCUAGUUUCGGCCAAAUGGGGGGGGGACAACCACACACUUUUUUUUUGUUUUCAUCAUAUUCCCUUUCAUUAUUUUAUGCCCAUGCUCCUUAUUUUAUCAUACUUCCCAUGAAACACUAACUCAACAUGUUUAUGACAUGUUCUUGCCCAUCAUACUUGGUCUACCAUGCUUGUCAUGGCCGGCCACUACUAAUUAGGGGGAAAUUGACAUGCAAGUCCCCCCUUUUUAUUUCAUGCACUAAUAGAUCCUUAUGCUUUGACCUAUCACAUUUCAAAAUUUUCUCACAUAAGUCCUAUUUACUAAAAUUCACUUACAAUUAAACAAAAUUCAAACACGAAAUUUUAACACAUGCACAUGUACAUAUAAUGAGCAUCAAUUAUGACGGUUAAUUAUCUUUAUGACUCGGUUUAGCGGUCCCGAAACCACUUCCCGACUAGGGUCAAUUUUGGGCUGUCACAACUCUCCCCCACUUAAGAAAUUUUCGUCCCCGAAAAUCUUACCUGUAAAUAAGUUUGGGUAUCGUUCUUUCAUCGAGCUCUCGGUUUCCCAAGUAGCUUCCUCGAUCCCUUGUUUGAGCCAUAACACCUUUACUAGCGGAACCCUUUUGUUUCGCAACUCCUUCACUUCACGAGCUAGGAUACACAUCAGUUCUUCUUCAUAACUCAUAUCGGCUUGAAUUUCAACCUCUGAUGGGCUAAUUAUGUGCGAUGGAUCAGAUCUAUAGCGUCGAAGCAUCGAAACAUGAAAGACGUCGUGGAUCUUUUCAAGUUCAGGGGGCAAAAUCAAUCGAUACGCAACUGGACCAACUCGUUCAGAGAUUUCGUACGGCCCAAUGAAUCUCGGACUCAACUUGCCCUUACGGCCAAAUCUGAGUACCUUUUUCCAAGGCGAAACUUUAAGAAACACUUUAUCUCCCACCUGAUAUUCAAUGUCUUUUCGUUUCAAAUCCGCAUACGAUUUCUGACGAUCUGUGGCUGCUUUCAAACUUUCACGGAUUACCUUUACUUUCUGUUUGGUAUCUUUAAUCAAAUCAACUCCGAAAAUUUUACUUUCACCGAGCUCGGUCCAAAACAAUGGUGUACGGCAUUUACGACCGUACAAAGCCUCGUAAGGUGCCAUCUUAAUACUUGAUUGAAAACUAUUGUUGUAAGCAAAUUCAAUCAAAGGUAAAUACCGUUCCCAUGAACCACUAAACUCGAGGAUGCAACAUCUCAACAUAUCCUCAAGUAUCUGAAUUAUCCGCUCGGAUUGACCAUCGGUUUGUGGAUGAAAAGCGGUGCUAAAAUGCAGCUUGGUACCCAAAGCUUCUUGCAAUUUCUUCCAAAAUCGCGAGGUGAAUCUCGGAUCUCUAUCCGACACGAUAGAAAUAGGCACCCCGUGUAAUCUCACAAUCUGAGAAACAUACAAUUUGGCUAGUUUAUCCAAUGAAAAAUCCGUACGCACGGGGAUAAAGUGAGCCGACUUAGUCAGUCUAUCAACAACAACCCAAAUCGCAUCCUUCUUACUUGCUGACAAUGGCAGUCCGGACACAAAGUCUAUUGUGACUCGAUCCCAUUUCCACUCGGGUAUCAUGAUCGGCUGAAGUAAUCCUGAAGGCACUUGAUGUUCUGCUUUCACUUGUUGACAUAUUAAACAUCUCGAAACAAAGUCGGAGAUGUCUCGUUUCAUACCAUGCCACCAAAACUGACGUUUCAAGUCGUUGUACAUUUUCGUACUCCCCGGGUGAAUUGACAUUCGGCUACAAUGGGCUUCGUUCAGAAUCAUCGAAAUGAGUUUUGAAUUUCUUGGAAUACACAACUGACUUCUGAACCUUAAACAAUCGUCAUCAUCAAUUUGAAAUUCGGAUUCCAUAUUCGGAACACAUUCAGCCCGUUUUGCAACCAAUUCAUCAUCGACUUUCUGAGCUUCACGAAUUUGACGAAUCAAUAAUGGUUUGGCCUUUAAUUCAGCUACUAACACAUUGUCGGGUAGAGCAGACAAGUGCACAUUCAUCGCUCAUAAAGAAAAUAGUGAUUUCCGGCUUAAGGCGUCCGCAACCACAUUAGCCUUUCCCGGGUGGUAAUCAAUGACAAGCUCGUAAUCUUUCAACAACUCAAGCCAACGUCUUUGUCGCAGAUUUAAGUCUCUUUGAGUCAUCAAAUAUUUGAGACUUUUGUGAUCCGAAAAUACAAGGCACUUUUCACCAAAUAAGUAAUGUCGCCAUAUUUUUAAAGCGAAUACGAUGACAGCUAGUUCGAGAUCAUGGGUCGGAUAAUUUUUCUCAUGUGGCUUUAAUUGUCUCGACGCAUAGGCCACCACUCGACCUUCUUGCAUCAAUACGCAACCCAACCCAAGUAGGGAUACGUCACUAUAAAUGACAAACUCUUUGCCUGAUUCGGGUUGCACUAAAAUUGGAGCUUCAGUCAAAUAAGUUUUCAGUUGAUCGAAACUUUUCUGACAUUUCUCCGUCCAUUCGAACUUAGCAUCCUUUUGAAGUAGCUUCGUCAUUGGUGUGGCUAUCAUCGAGAAACCUUUUACAAAUCGUCGAUAAUAACCGGCGAGCCCCAGGAAGCUCCGAACUUCGGUAAUAUUUCUUGGAGGCUUCCAGUUAAGUAUGGCUAAAAUUUUGCUCGGGUCAACUCGAAUACCCGAUGCGGAUACCACAUGACCCAAGAAGCUAACCUCUCUUAACCAGAACUCACACUUACUGAACUUAGCAUAUAACUGCUUAUCCCACAAAAUUUGCAACACUAAUCCCAGGUGCUCAGCAUGUUCGGUCUCAUCUCUUGAGUAGACCAAGAUGUCAUCAAUGAACACAACUACGAACCGAUCCAAAUACUGUCUGAAGAUCCGAUUCAUCAAAUCCAUAAAUACCGCAGGGGCAUUAGUGAGCCCAAACGGCAUCACUAAGAACUCGUAGUGACCAUAUCUCGUUCUGAAGGCAGUUUUGGGCAUGUCCGAAUCUCGAAUUCGCAACUGAUAAUAGCCCGAUCUCAAAUCUAUUUUUGAGAACACUGAGGCUCCCUUUAGUUGGUCGAACAAAUCAUCAAUACGCGGUAACGGAUAUUUGUUCUUUAUUGUCACUUUAUUCAGCUGACGAUAGUCAAUGCACAACCUCAUGGUUCCGUCCUUCUUUUUCACGAACAAUACUGGUGCACCCCAAGGUGAGAAACUUGGUCGAGCGAAACCUCUAUCCGUCAACUCUUGCAAUUGAGCUUUCAAUUCCUUUAACUCGGUUGGUGCCAUACGAUACGGAGCUAUCAAAAUUGGCGUAGUUCUAGGUACAAGCUCAAUACCAAACUCUACCUCCCGAACAGGUGGUAAACUCGGUAAUUCUUCAGGAAAAACAUCCGGGUAUUCACAAACCACCGGUACAGAUUCGGGUUUUUUUUUCUAAUUCCUUGUCAUCAAGUACAUACGCAAGGUAUGCUUCGCACCCUUUUCUUACAUAUUUCUGGGCCAACAUUGAGGAUAUUGCAGCUGGCAACCCCUUAAGUCCGUAGACUCAACUCGGAUUAUCUCGUUAUUUGCGCACCUCAAAUCGAUGGUUUUUCUUUUACAGUUCACCACUGCAUCAUGUACGGUCAACCAAUCCAUCCAUACCAAGAAUAACAUCAAAUUCAUCAAACGGCAAAAGCAUCAAAUCAGCCGGAAAACAGGAUUCUCAGAUUAUUAGAGGGCAUCUCUUACACACUUUAUCAACAAGUACGUAUUGACCCAAAGGGUUUGACACUCGAAUUACGAACUCAGUAGACUCAACAGGUAGAGUCUUACUGGAUGCUAAGGUUUCACAUACAUAUGAAUGAGUAGAGCCAGGGUCAAUCAAUGCAAUCACAUUAGUAUCAAAGAGAAUGAAGGUACCAGUGAUGACGUCAGGGGAGGAUGCCUCCUCUCGUGCGCGAAUGGCAUAUGCUCUAGCAGGAGUACGGUUCUCGGCUCGAACAGUCGUAUCAGAGGCCCCUCUCUGACUACCACCCCUACCUCCUAAAAUUCUCGGUGGUCUACCUCUAGUUGUCACUCCACUAGGUCUUGCACCUUGAAUCUUAUUCUUCUCAUCAAGAUCCGUGCAAUCUCUAAUGAAGUGGUCCUUUGAACUGCAUCCGUAACAGGCCCUGUUAGUAGACUUACCCCAACAUUCACCUAGGUGUCGUCUUCCGCAUUGGGGACAUUCAGGUUUCUCUUGACGAUUAUUGCCCACACUAGGUACCGAAGUAGCUCGGGAGUCCGUCGGUGGUCGUGCUCUGAUGGAAAUUCCUGCAGUCGUCCUCGACUUAUUAGUGUCCUCCCUGAACUUCUUUACAGCUGAGAACGGAGCUUUACCCGUCGAUCUUUUACGAUAGUCUCUAGCUUCAAAUUCAGCCUUCUUCUUCUCCUUUCCAAGUUCUUCCGCCUUGCAGGCUCGUUCGACUAGUGUCACGAAUUCUUUUAUCUCCAAAAUACCCACUAGUAGCUUUAAAUCUUCAUUCAACCCUUCUUCGAAUCUUUUGCACAUAGCAACCUCAUCAGCUACACACUCCCGGGCAUACCUACUGAGUCUUACGAAUUCAUGUUCAUAUUCAGAUACUGUCAUGCGGCCUUGCUUGAGUUCCAAGAAUUCCUUACGCUUUUGGUCAAUGAACCGUUGACUAAUAUAUUUCUUUCGAAAUUCCGUUUGAAAGAAGUCCCAAGUAACUCGUUCAUUUGGGACUAUGGAAAUCAGGGUCCUCCACCAAUAGUAGGCCGAGUCCCGCAACAAGGAUAUAGCACACUUUAGACAUUCAUCGGGCGUGCAUGACAGUUCAUCAAACACCCGAAUGGUGUUAUCAAGCCAGAACUCUGCCCUUUCAGCAUCAUCAGUAACUAUGGCCCUGAACUCCUCAGCCCCGCGCUUCCUAAUCAAGUCUACAGGUGGCUUACUCAGCCUCACAGGAUCAGUAACUGAUCGCAUUACGGGCUCUUGGGGUGGAUCAUUCAAAUUCGGGAAUUGUUGGACAGCCGGAUUGGUUCGGGCAUAUUGCGUGACCCACUCAUUCAUCAUGGUAAAGAAGGCUUGUUUAGCCCCCUCACCUUGAUUAUUCGCAGAUGACUGAGGUUCAACAGGCGGCAUCCCUUGUGCAGGAGCAGCCGCUACACUUUCAACAUCAUCCGCCAAGGUUCUCUCUACACCGGGAUCCAUUUACUAAUCAAAACAAAAAUUUUAACCGUCAGAAGUCAUCACACAUUUAAACAUUAACAUUAAGGCAUGUACAGCUAGACUCAUACGUGCUAUGGUAGUCCUAGAACCGACUAAACCAUAGAUCUAAUACCAAUCAAAUGUAACACCCCGAACCCAAGGCCGUCGCCGGAGUCGAACACGAGGUGUUAACAGACUUCAAACCACUAAAAAAAAAAUUUCCCAGACAAGCUGCCAAGCUGCAUACUAGUCGCUUUAAAAAUCAUAUCUUCAGUUCUGAAACUCGAAAUCCAGUUCCGUAAAUUUUCCCUGAAACUAGACUCAUAUGCCCAUCCACAUAUUUUUUUCUAGAAUUUUUGGUUGGGCCAAUUAGUACAGUUUAUUAGUCAAAGUCUCCCAUGUUACAGGGAUCGACUACACUGACCUUUGCGCAUUACGACUUGGAUAUCUCCCUGUACAGGGCUUAAUUACUGAUUUCGUUUGUUUUUAUAGAAACUAGACUCGAAGGGGAAUCUAUGCACAUAUGGCAUGACUUCUAAUUAUCUCUGGUUAAUUUAUAAUGAAUUUCCAAAGUCGGAACAGGGAAUCCAGAAAUCACUCUGGCCCUGUUUCACAAGAGUUUAAUUAUCUCCUAACAUACAGCUCAUAUGGUCGUUUCGUUUCUUCUAUAUGAAAAUAGACUCAUCGAGAUUCGAUUACAUAAUUUAUACAUUAAUUAAUUCCACUCCUACUAUUUUUAGUGAUUUUUCAAUCUCACGUCACUGCUGCUGCCAGCAUCUGUUACUAAAGCAACUAUGACUAGCCAUGCCAAGGGCUAAUCAUUGUCAAACAUCUCCCUACUACACUAUUGCCAUAUCAUGAAUUUUGACACCAAAAAUAAUCAACCAUGACAUAUGGCAUAAAAAUCGAAUUUCCAAGACUUACGACCUAACAUUAUAGAACCAAAUCCAACCGAACAUUUAUGCCAUUUUCGCAUGGCUAAAAGUUUACAUACCAAAUUUCAACAAAACAUAUUAGCCUAUACAUGCCGAAAUGUUCUCCUCGACCGACUAAAAAGAAGAUACCAAAAGUUGCUAGCCGGUGAGAUGACUUCGAUGACGGCCCGAUCACGCAAAAAGAGGCGAGUCCAAGAAACCUAAAAUAGGUGACAAGGAAACACCGAGUGAGUAUAUAACUCAGUAAGUCAUAAGCAAUGCACCACCAUCCAUUAAUAACAUUAUCACAAGAGGAAACAAAAUGGAACGAGGCUAGUUACUCCAUCCAUACCGAACCAUACCAUAGUUCCUUAGACCUAUAGGUUCAAUCUCAUACCAAGUCAUGCAUUCACAUUCCAUAUACUAAUCAAUAGGAUAUUUGAGGCAUUUUCAUACAUCAUUGUAUUUUCGUUACAAUCAUACAACUAAACGACCUUUCACCUAUUCCGCGAUAAAUCUUAUGUACGUGACUUCAAUUAUAAUUGUCACAUAGGUUCAAACUUACCAAGCUCAACUCCAAAUAUAAACAUAGCGCCUAUUAGCCAUGAACUCAAGGUACUUACCCGAUCCGCUGUCCGUGAUCAACUCAAUAAUGUCGCACACUUAGUGUCCAUAGUGAUUCAAAAGUAUAUAUUAAGUCCGCACACUUAGUGCUAUAUAAUCAACUCGCACACUUAGUGCUAUAUAAUCAAACUCGCACACUUAGUGCUGUACAAUUUAAACCCGCACACUUAGUGCCAAUCUCAUGAUCAUAAAUGUUUAUACCCGCACACUUAGUGCCGAGAUCAACAACUCAAUACAUCUCACCUCUUUUCUUUUCAUUCAACACUUUCAUCACCACAUGCAUACAUGUAUAUAUAUAUUUAUCAUUCCAUUCAGCAUCAUUACAUAGACGUUAUGACCAUUUAAAUUAAUACAAACUAUAUGCUUAAUGACUUACUUUGUGUUGGGUAAGACGGUUCCAACUCGGCUACUCGAUGAUCUUUUCUUUGCCUUUGCUUGAUUCUCCUCCUUUAACUCCUUGAGCUUAAUCAAUAAAUCAACUAGUUUAACC
RNAcentral lists this long non-coding RNA (9029 nucleotides) under Gossypium barbadense (sea-island cotton). RNAcentral describes it as "long non-coding RNA (GBAR_LNC022377)". The record is from RNAcentral. Lineage: Eukaryota; Viridiplantae; Streptophyta; Magnoliopsida; Malvales; Malvaceae.